This is a long non-coding RNA of Lathyrus oleraceus (garden pea), 1669 nucleotides long. RefSeq lists it as uncharacterized. The record is from RefSeq and is a predicted model, not a curated record. Lineage: Eukaryota; Viridiplantae; Streptophyta; Magnoliopsida; Fabales; Fabaceae. The transcript is spliced from 2 exons.
UAAUAAUAAUAUUUUUUACAAGAAAACAAAUGAAAGAAAAUAAUAAGAAAAGAGUAAAAUGAAAAACAAAUGGGCCUUGGACAAAAAACAGCCCAUUAGGAGCGCUGCCAAAGCAAAGUAGGGAGGUGGGUUGAGGAAAAAGUCACCUAAGACCAGAAACAAAAGACCCACAGACCCAUGAGGGAGUCCAAUGGACCUCCAGUCAACUCAAUGACUGGGAGACGGGCUAGGAUCGUCAGAUCCGUAGAUCUGACUUUGGUCAAAUGAAACGGAUGGAUUGAUCAAAAAGUCACACCAAGCGCUAUGGUGGGGAAUCCACACGGGAUCCCUGGUUUACCAGAGGUCAACCCUACGUGUGGCAACAUGCAGAAUGGCCACUUGGCCUUCAUGCACCUAUGGCCAACCAACAUAUAAAAACCACUUUGUGUGAGAGAGAGAGAGAGAGUUCAUUUGUCAAACUAUAAUCUCUCUUUUCACUUUAGAGCUCCCUCUCGCUUUGCAAGUGUUCAACAGUGCCGAUCAGGACCCACCGGAGAAGACGGUGGUGGCCGGCCGCCGCCGCCGCCAUCUUCUUCUCCGGCCAAACACCACCGUAAAAACCCAAACCACAAACACUAACCCCCUCUCAUUUUUCCCUACAAUCCAAAUCCGAGCUUGUUUUUCCUAUAAUCCUAACCCAACAUCCAGAUUGACACACCAAGUUACGAAAACCAAAGAUGCACAAAUCCAAAACCUCUCACUACUAAAUAAACAACGUCAACACCCUCUAAUGCAUAAAGGCUUCAACGAAAGAAAAAGAAACAAAUGGAAACCCUAAUAUUCAAAUUAGGCUUCACACAACAAAGAAAUGACGUAAUUAGCAUGGGGUUUUGGUCUAAAUCAAACAGAGAAGUUGCUAGUACACAAGAAUUGAAGAAAAGAGUAAGAACUCACCCAAUCGGAGCUAAUCCAAGGAAAUCUCCAGCGAAACAGAUGAGUCUUUUCCAAGGGUUUUGUGUUUAGAACUUUGUUGUUGUUUGGUUUCAUGUUAGGUUUAGCUAGAAUUAUCUUAGAGUUUCAAUGAGAAACUCUGAGUAAUUUGUUAGUUUUGAGCUUUAGUGAGGUUUUGGAAUUGGGUCUGGUAGCAUUUUUGUAGCGUAACGGCAAGGUUUUUUUUUUGUUGCUUACAAUACCUCUCCUCCUCUAUUUAUAGGAGAGUCCUUCUCCACUCAAAUUUAGGGCCAGGUUCUCUUAGAUUUGGUGAGUUGUGUUAGGAUCAAUUUGUUGGAGGAUUUCAUCCACCCCCGAUUUCGUGGGAUUCCGUUUGUGAGCGUCCAGAUUUGAGCGGUACUACCACCUUAUAAUGGAAGUCCGUACACUACUCGUUCUGUGGUCCCCUGGGUCAUGAUGGUAAGGAGCAUCCAGGCGAGGAAUAAAACCUAACGUACUUGGUUCAAAAAAGGAAUUUUGGAUUAGCGUAAAUGAGGAAGAUUUGAAUAUUAUGGGCUACUUUACAUUGUAUUGUAGUUUGGGCAUUAUAGUCCCAUGUAUUAAUUAUGGCUUAUGAGUACAGUUGUAACUUUAUGUCUUUAACAAUGGAAGUUAGAACAAUUAUGUACGUAAAAAAAUUUGUAACUCCAAGUCAAAUGAUCUUUAAUCAAAUGGUAUUAUUAUGAAGUUCAUACGAAAA